Molecule: transfer RNA, 72 nt
Filed under: Mycobacterium phage Myrna
Lineage: Duplodnaviria; Heunggongvirae; Uroviricota; Caudoviricetes
Description: tRNA-Ser
Source: RNAcentral
GCGAGAUUGGUCUGGUGACCUAGCGAGCUUCUAAACCUCGCGAUCGACCGGUUCGACUCCGGUAUCUCGCGC